CUUUUUUUUGUUUUUUUUUUGGGGGGGUAGGAAUUUGGUAGAUAAAGGUUAAUCUUGGGCUGAAUGAUAGAGCUGUGAUUGACAAGAGAAAAGGUGUUGAGGGCAGGUCGAGCUGUCUUAUUUACAGCCCACUGCUUGCUAUAGAGCCUUUGUUAGGACUGGAAAGCUAAUUUAGUGCUGAUCAAAAGCACCACAGAGUUAAAGGACUGGUAAUGACUGCUAAUUUCAUUUCAGCCUCAUACAUCCCCAACUGCUGUAAUUAAAGACGUGCUAUUUAAAUACAGAUCUGUACUCGACCCCGCCAGGCUACGGGCUCCCCCCCUCUUCCGGCAGGCGGCGCCGGCAGCGGAUGGCGGCGCCCCCUGUCGGCCGCGCCGGGGCUUCCCCGCUGCCCGAGGGAAACUUCCGCGGGAGAGACGGCGCCCGCGGUGAGAGCCAGAGCGCGUGGAAGGGAUUAAAGGGGAAAAGCGAAAAGCCGGCGCCUGGAAGUGGUUCGGGGUCGCUGAGGUGGAGGAGGGGAGAGGGGGUGUUCAAGUAAGGGCGUGGAAGGAGGGACAGGCGAAGUGAGCGGAAAUACCAGCCCAGAAGCCACGGAAAGAGAAGCCUCCUCCAGCUUGUGCUGUUCGCUCUGGGGAUACACAAACGUUAAAAUAAUAAUGAUUAAAACAAAAGAAAUCUACCGGUUUGUUUCUAAGCAGAGGUCCCCGAAAGGUCGGGUCCUAUAGAAAUGUCGGUAUCUGCUACUCUCCACACCUCGAGCGGGGUUGCUGCUGCGGGACCGCGCAGCCAGCUUGGGCUCCGGUCGCCGGACAGCGGCGCACCCUCAAAAGACCAACUUCUUUAUUGGGAGCAUCAGGCACAAAAAUAAGGAUGAUUUUUUCCUCGUUCCCGACAUCAGUGUUCCGGUGCUGUCAGCAGAUGCCAGCCUUUAAGAGGCUUGGGCUUGUGUUUUCCUCCCCAAGGUGUCUUACAUAAGUCAGCAUUGACAGCGCUGAACGUCUCCUUUUCAUUAAGGAAAAAAAAUUUCUAAAAUGGUACGUGUUUAAACCCAAAUAAAGUCAUCUCACCUCCCCUCUGUCCCCCCAAAAAGGGGCAAAAUGAAAUAACACCUCUCCUCUCCUAAUUCUUCCGAAGGGAAGAAGCGUUCUUUAAAUGAAUGCCCGAAGAGGGUUUUUUCUUUCUUACUGUGGAUAUGACAGUUUUAAAAGAAACCUGAGUGAUAUAAAACGAUUACCCAAAAUAUGCGAAAAGCUGCAUUGUCACCAACUUUUUGGAUAAACUAGUUUCUUGUUUUAUAGGCACCUGCCUAGCUCUGGGUAGGACAUUUCCCGGCGGUAUUUGAGAGUUGCGGUAAUACCCAGCAUGGUUUAUGCAUCUUGCGUGCGAAUAGAAACACUAAAGCAAACCAAAUUAUUUCUGCUGAAUUGGGGUUAUUUUAUAUCUCAUGUUGACUGUCUGGAUGAAAGUCACAAAGCCGCAGUUUUUUCUUAUUAAAUUAAUCCUAUGGUUGUUGGUCUCACAAUAACUUUUUCACUUUAUUAAUUAUAUACGAAUACAUUUUUAUGAA
Long non-coding RNA from Strigops habroptila (Kakapo), 1567 nucleotides. NCBI's taxonomy places the organism in Eukaryota, Metazoa, Chordata, Aves, Psittaciformes, Psittacidae. The record is from Ensembl.